Molecule: ribosomal RNA, 497 nt
Filed under: uncultured bacterium
Lineage: Bacteria
Description: partial 16S ribosomal RNA
Rfam family: Bacterial small subunit ribosomal RNA
Source: RNAcentral
GAUGAACGCUGGCGGCGUGCCUAAUACAUGCAAGUCGAGCGAACAGACGAGGAGCUUGCUCCUCUGACGUUAUCGGCGGACGGGUGAGUAACACGUGGAUAACCUACCUAUAAGACUGGGAUAACUUCGGGAAACCGGAGCUAAUACCGGAUAAUAUAUUGAACCGCAUUGUUCAAUAGUUAAAGACGGUUUUUCUUUCACUUAUAUAUGUAUCCGCGCCGCAUUAGCUAGUUGGUAAGGUAACGGCUUACCAAGACAACGAUUCGUAGCCGACCUGAGAGGGUGAUCGGCCACACUGGAACUGAGACACGGUACAGACUACUACGGGAGGCAGCAGUAGGGAAUCUUCCGCAAUGGGCGAAAGCUUGACGGAGCAAAGCCGCGUGAGUGAUGAAGGUCUUCGGAUCGUAAAACUCUGUUAUUAGGGAAGAACAAAUGUGUAAGUAACUAUGCACGUCUUGACGGUACCUAAUCAGAAAGCCACGGCUAACUACGUG